GCCUCAAUAGCUCAGUUGGCUGGAACAUGGUGCUGAUAACGCCAAGGUUGCAGGUUCGAUUCCCAUAGGGCA
Molecule: non-coding RNA, 72 nt
Organism: Podarcis lilfordi (Lilford's wall lizard)
Lineage: Eukaryota; Metazoa; Chordata; Lepidosauria; Squamata; Lacertidae
Source: the annotation of a GenBank genome assembly